This 32-nucleotide non-coding RNA is filed under the name Mus musculus (house mouse). The record is from RNAcentral. Lineage: Eukaryota; Metazoa; Chordata; Mammalia; Rodentia; Muridae.
UGCCAUAGCCAGGGAUCCACCCCAUAAUCAGC